This 446-nucleotide ribosomal RNA is filed under the name uncultured bacterium. RNAcentral describes it as "bacterial SSU rRNA". It matches the Rfam family "Bacterial small subunit ribosomal RNA", at positions 329 to 792 of the family's 1533-position model. The record is from RNAcentral.
CGCCAGACUCCUACGGGAGGCAGCAGUGGGGAAUAUUGCACAAUGGGGGAAACCCUGAUGCAGCGACGCCGCGUGAGUGAGGAAGUAUUUCGGUAUGUAAAGCUCUAUCAGCAGGGAAGAAAAUGACGGUACCUGACUAAGAAGCCCCGGCUAACUACGUGCCAGCAGCCGCGGUAAUACGUAGGGGGCAAGCGUUAUCCGGAUUUACUGGGUGUAAAGGGAGCGUAGACGGCAAUGCAAGCCAGAUGUGAAAGCCCGGGGCUCAACCCCGGGACUGCAUUUGGAACUGUGUAGCUGGAGUGUCGGAGAGGCAGGCGGAAUUCCUAGUGUAGCGGUGAAAUGCGUAGAUAUUAGGAGGAACACCAGUGGCGAAGGCGGCCUGCUGGACGAUGACUGACGUUGAGGCUCGAAAGCGUGGGGAGCAAACAGGAUUAGAUACCCUGGUA